RNAcentral lists this ribosomal RNA (89 nucleotides) under Klebsiella pneumoniae. Lineage: Bacteria; Pseudomonadati; Pseudomonadota; Gammaproteobacteria; Enterobacterales; Enterobacteriaceae. RNAcentral also lists the same sequence under 9 other names. The record is from RNAcentral.
CUUGACGACCAUAGAGCAUUGGAACCACCUGAUCCCAUCCCGAACUCAGCAGUGAAACGAUGCAUCGCCGAUGGUAGUGUGGGGUUUCC